Molecule: unclassified non-coding RNA, 194 nt
Filed under: plant metagenome
Description: partial contains small subunit ribosomal RNA and internal transcribed spacer 1
Rfam family: Eukaryotic small subunit ribosomal RNA (bases 1-46)
Source: RNAcentral
AAGUCGUAACAAGGUCUCCGUAGGUGAACCUGCGGAGGGAUCAUUACCGAGUGAGGGCCUUUGGCUCGACCUCCAACCCUUUGUAAUUGAAGCACUCGUGGCUCGGGUGCAGCCCUGCCGUCGAGCCUGGGCCCUGGUGUCGAUACACAAACUCUGCGUCUCUGCGUCUGAGUCUUAAAGUAAAUGAAUUAAAA